CAAAGUGCUGGGAUUACAGGUGUGAGUCACGGCGCCUGGCUGAACUUAAGAAUUUUGAAAAUUAUAACUCUGAGCUUUUUAAGGAAACAGGGUUAAGAGGUAGUUUGUUGGCAGACGGGCAUCAGCAAGGUCUGUUUCGAAAGCUCAGCAUAUGAGCACACAUGUGCACACAUGCACUCAGCCUUGGCUUUGCGCUGUAAAUUUUUAGCACAAUAUACAAGUAUGGGCUUUUGUUGUCAAGGAAAUGGCUUUGUUUCUCUGAGGAAGGAGAUAUUGAGGACACUUCUCUGUAGGCAAUCACUGAGCAAGGUCGUAUUGUUUCCCAGACCUGCUGUUCUGAACAACACGAAGCUCUUGGGUUCUGUCCGUGCCUCUCUGGCCAGUCAUUGUUACAGUGGCAGCAGGCAAGCCAGGCUUUCCUCGGUGAGGUCCAGCUCACAGCUGACCUCUACCUUCCCUUCCUACUUGCCUAGGCAAUCGUGGCUUGUGUUUGAACUGAGCAAUGAAGAAAUAUCUCAGGCAGUUUUGAGUCAGCCUUCAGGUUUCUCAGAAACUUUAAACACAGAAAUGAAUGGGAUCACUGAGGUCAGGAACUCUAGAUUCCCCUACCUCAUGGUUGGAGCAUCAGCUUCUGGAGGUCAAGGGUAGGAUUAUCAGAGGCUGCAUGAAGAAGGUAAUAGUGGGACCACUUAGAGAGAGCCAACAGUCCAGGCCAAGACAAGCUGGGACCCAGCUCUGUUUCACAUAUGAGUUAUUCCUCUUCUAAUCGGCCCUCUAGGUGAAAUUAAUCAUUUAUUUCCACUUCCUGCUAAUUGUCCAACUGGUGUGGCUGUAUCUCCUUCCUGCAAAGCAAUGUUGAAGAAGCUAUGGAAGCAAGAAGGAAGCAUGGAUUCUAGAAACUGACAACAAACCACUUAUCCCUAUUGCUCUUCUUCCUAAAGCUAAAGAACCCUGGGACCUUGAGGACACCGUUUGAAAACUAUUCAUGGAAAACCUGGCAUCCUAGAAUGAGAAAUCCACAUCUGGAUCAAACUGCAUCACAGAAGCUGUGCAGGAUGACAGAUGACACCCUGUCUGGAAAGUUUCUGCCACAGGGCAAAAGACUGCAAGCAGAAUAUCCCUUUGCCGUUUCUCAUUCAGGCCUGACCAUGGUCUGAAAGCAAACCGCAAGGACAGGACUUCCUGGACUCCGCCGCCACUCCAGGUUGCUGCUUUACCACAGGAAGUCCAGCAGGUGGCGCUGCACCCCGCGCGGACCCAGCCAGCCUGCCUGCCGUGGCCGCAGGGUGGCCGCUGGAUGCACAGUCGGGAAGUGGUCUGCGCGCACCUCGCUGCAGCUGUGUCAAACGCAAACGAUGACACACAGGCUUGACGAGGGCCUUUGUCAGAAGCCACGGGGAUCUGGCGUCACCGCACAAUGGAAAACAAAGUGCUUCUGCCUGGUUGGCCAGAAUGCACGUUUGCUCACUAUUGAUGCCGGGGCGUUUACAGGCAGAAUGAGUUCAUGUGAAAUUUCAGGAUCUGCCAUGACUCAGACUCACUUUCUGUAAACCAGAGUCAACAUUACAUUUCCCUUCACUCUGGGCCAUUCCUUGAAUUUUUAGGUCACCAGUUGUUUUUGUACUAACUGAAGGGAUUUGAGUAUUUCAUAAGCACCUUUUUUUUUUUUUUUUUUUUUUUUUUUUUUUUUUAGGGCAUUACCAAUUUGGGAUGGAUCUGUAGUGUAAGAGAUUGUUGUCUACUCUUAGCUCCAAAAAUAGGUUGGCUUUAUAUAUUAUUUACAUGUUCAGAAUUAUACUGUGUAGCAAUUCAAGUGAAACUUGCAAAAUACUUUUCUGGCAGGAAGCCCUGGAGAGGAUGGUUCAUGGAGAUGAGGAUGACGACUGGGGUGAGAAAUGCAGGUGACUCGUGAGUGGACAGAGAGUGGAAGAGAAGAUGACUGGAAGAUUUUAGCAUCUAGAAAAGAAUGGAGACGACUAGAGUUGAUCUGAAGAUUAUGGCAGAAUUCAGUACUGGGGCAAAGAAACAAGAUGGAGUUAGAAAUUAGAAACAGCAGAGCUCCGAAGGUUCGAAAGGAUUUGAACAAGAGAACAAGAAGGAGCCUGCUAAUAGCACCCUGGGUUCACAGCAAGAGAAGCACCUGGAGAGAAUUAACUAGGGAGGCGGUGGGGGCAUGGGAAACCUUUUCCUCUCCAAGAGCCGGCCGGAGCGUCAGCUGGCCUGAACUUGAAGUUACACCAGGUAGCUUGCCUGGGCUGGGAGAAGGUGAUUCUCUUCUAUGCCUCUCUCCAACGCCCUGCUCCUGACGCUGCUCCUCUACUCAUAUUGAGGGGAACAUACAUCCCUAAGUUCCCCGCACCCCAUUCCUUGUUCUGGCUAUCUGGUCUCCUAGGAAUUUUUCUACUAAUUUUCAAUUCCUCUUUUCACCUGGUGAAAUAUUAAAUCUUACUGUUCAAUUAAAGUUCUUCUA
Cebus imitator (Panamanian white-faced capuchin) is the source of this 2470-nucleotide long non-coding RNA. RefSeq lists it as uncharacterized. The record is from RefSeq and is a predicted model, not a curated record. Lineage: Eukaryota; Metazoa; Chordata; Mammalia; Primates; Cebidae. The transcript is spliced from 4 exons.